CAUCUAAGGUAUCUUGAUCUUUCUGGGAAUGAAAGGAUCAAGAUACUUCCUGAUUCUAUUACAAGACUGCAGAACUUACAAAUUCUGAAACUGGUAGAGUGCAUGGCACUUGAACAAUUGCCAAAAGACAUAAAAAAGUUGGUCAAUCUUAGGCAACUUAGCCUGGAAUCAUGUUAUUCCUUAAGUCAUAUGCCUCGUGGGAUUGGGAAAUUGACAUGCCUUGUAAAAUUAUCAAACUUCCUUGUUGCCAGAGAUAGUUCUGUCUCCAAGCAUAGUGGUGGACUUGAUGAAUUACAUGCCUUAAACAACUUGAGAGGAACGCUACGAAUCAGUUUAGGAUAUGCAGUGAAAAAUAGAGCACCAGCAUCAGAUUUUGAGGCUGCCAAUUUGAAAGAGAAGCAACACAUUCAAUCCUUGAAAUUAUCAUGGAAAUUGGGCCCUCCCUACGAUAAUGAUAGUGAUAGUGGUCCGGAUGAUGUUGAAAAUGAUGGAGAAAUGUCAUUAGAAGAGCUACGGCCACACCUUAAUCUAAAAGCGUUGUUUGUGUUUGGGUGCGGAAGACUCU
This 565-nucleotide unclassified non-coding RNA is filed under the name Hevea brasiliensis (rubber tree). Lineage: Eukaryota; Viridiplantae; Streptophyta; Magnoliopsida; Malpighiales; Euphorbiaceae. The record is from RNAcentral.